CCUACGGGUGGCAGCAGUGGGGAAUAUUGCACAAUGGGGGAAACCCUGAUGCAGCAACGCCGCGUGGGUGAAGAAGCGUUUCGGCGCGUAAAGCCCUGUCAGCGGGGACGAAGGAAGACGGUACCCGACCAAGAAGCCCCGGCUAACUACGGGCCAGCAGCCGCGGUAAUACGUAGGGGGCGAGCGGUAUCCGGAAUUACUGGGGGUAAAGGGGGCGUGGACGGCGGGGUAAGCCCGGAGUGGAAGCCCGGGGCCCAACCUCGGUACUGCGUUGGGAACUGUUUUGCUGGAGUGUGGGAGGGGUAAGCGGAAUUCCUGGUGUAGCGGUGAAAUGCGUAGAUAUCAGGAGGAACACCGGUGGCGAAGGCGGCUUUCUGGACCAUAACUGACGUUGAGGCUCGAAAGCGUGGGGAGCGAACAGGAUUAGAUACCCUAGUAGUC
Molecule: ribosomal RNA, 441 nt
Filed under: uncultured bacterium
Lineage: Bacteria
Description: partial 16S ribosomal RNA
Rfam family: Bacterial small subunit ribosomal RNA
Source: RNAcentral